UUAAUGCAGGACACAUCAUACUGUGUGGAGUAACAAACAAGGAGGAAAAUCGUCUAACGUUGUAUGCACUUUGUUUACAAACGAGUGCCUUACAAAGUGCACCACAUAAAAUCGAAGGGACUUUAGUGCAUGAUGACGAAAAGUGGGUUGUAGAAAAGUUUGCAUGUUCUUGUAAAGCUGGGCAAAGUGGUCGAUGCAAGCAUAUUUCAGCAGUUUUGCUACAAUGUUCAAGGACUUCCCUCGAUAAACUUGAAGCAGUUUCGCAAACUGAUAUUAAAUGCACAUGGUCUGCUCAGAAAGGCAAAACACAAGAUAAAUAUAGAGCAAUUCCUGUUAAAGAAAUGCCGUGCAUAAAGCAAAGUGAUGGUAUGAAAUUGGACGAGGCAAUUUUAAUGGGCAUACACGAUAAUUUGGUGUCUAAAUUGCCAAAUUCAGCAUUGGCAUUACACAAGGCAGGACGACGUUGCACAAACCUUUCCACCUUUGAGAAUGAAGAAGUGUUUACUCCAUAUGAUGAGCAUGAUGUAGUCAUUUUAAAUCACGCAACGCAAUCAAUUUUAAUGAUGGAAUUGUAUCAUUUUCAUGUAAAUUUCAUAGGUUCUUGUUGUAAAGAAUUGUUCGAUAAACACUUAUUGAAAGAUAUUGACGAAAUAUUGCUUAAAACUAAACAGUCAAAAGAAUUUUGGAAUAUUGAAAGAAAAUUUAGGGUUACAGGUUCACGAAUUUAUGAACUAUAUACGUAUAAAUCAGAUGAUUGGCAAAAAAAAGCAAAUCGUUAUUUUAAUCCAAUAAGUUUCAUGAAUAAAUUUACUAAGCAUGGC
Long non-coding RNA from Photinus pyralis (common eastern firefly), 821 nucleotides. RefSeq lists it as uncharacterized. NCBI's taxonomy places the organism in Eukaryota, Metazoa, Arthropoda, Insecta, Coleoptera, Lampyridae. The record is from RefSeq and is a predicted model, not a curated record. The transcript has 3 exons.